Gossypium raimondii (Peruvian cotton) is the source of this 682-nucleotide long non-coding RNA. RefSeq lists it as uncharacterized. Lineage: Eukaryota; Viridiplantae; Streptophyta; Magnoliopsida; Malvales; Malvaceae. The transcript is spliced from 2 exons. The record is from RefSeq and is a predicted model, not a curated record.
UAAAAAGUCUAGCCCUAAACAGUAAGCCUGCUAGGGCUAUAAAGCCCUAGCCCCUCCUUUCUCGCUUCAUCACACAAUAUUCCCUCCAAGUUGAACGUGGUCUUAGAGGUUUUGUCGAUGAUGCAGAGAUUUGAAGCUAUCUUUUUCGCCAUCUUGCUGCUUGUGGCAACCAUGGAAGCUGAUGGAAAACGAAUGACCCUGGAGAAGGAGCCAGAGCCAAGUAAUCAUCAGCUGGGUCGAAAGGUCGACGUCGGAGCUAAAGAUGGUAUAGAUCUAACCGCCGUCGACGGUGCCGGAGAAGAUGACUCCGAUGUGGCCCUUUUGGCUUCCCAGAACAAAGUUACGACAGAAUCACGUCACCAUUUCUUCCCAAACGAAAGCAACCCUUAUAGACACAAUAGACCUUGAAACUGAUGAUCACCUUGCAAAUUGCUAAGCAAUUUGGUUUGAGCUUUACCAAAUAAAACUGGAAAUUAACAUGUUAGAAUAACCUAAAAGCAUAUAUGUAUAUGUAUAUGCAUAUGAACAUGUUAAGUUUCCAUAACAAAAUCAGUGUUUAAAGAAGCGUGUUCAGUUCAAUCGUAUGAACUAUGUGAAAAUCUGGGUUUUGCACCUACUUAAUCAAGAUGUGUAAUCAGUGUAAUACAAUUUGUAUGAAAGAAAGAGACCAAACUUAACUAAA